Long non-coding RNA from Lynx canadensis (Canada lynx), 2082 nucleotides. RefSeq lists it as uncharacterized. The transcript has 3 exons. NCBI's taxonomy places the organism in Eukaryota, Metazoa, Chordata, Mammalia, Carnivora, Felidae. The record is from RefSeq and is a predicted model, not a curated record.
UUCUUUCUCUCUGCCCUGUGAGCACACAGCAAGAAGCAGUGUCUGCAAGCCAGGAAGAGAGCUCUCACCAGAAUCUAAGCAUCCUGACACCCUGAUCUCAGAUUCUGGACUCCAACGCUGUGAGAAAAUAGAUUUCUGUUCUGUUGUUUAAACAACCCAGUCUAUGGUAUUUUGUGAUGGCAGAUCAAGGUGACUAAUCGUAGAUCAAUCAGCAUAGUGAAUGGAAAAAUUACCCAUGGAAACCACUUUUGAGAAAACUAGAGGACGGAAAAUCCCCACAAAUCUCCCCUCAGAGGACAAACACAUUCAAUAAAAUUUAGACACAUUCAGACAUAUUUAGAAUUCAGACCUAUUGUCUAAACCCCUACCAGCAGUAGACGGUUGUAGAGCAGGAGUGGUGGAAAAUGAGAAUUGAGAUCCUCAGAAAUGUCUAGCGAAUAAUCUCUUCUAUAAAUUCACAGCAUGACACGGAAGGAAAAUAACUAGAAAUAGAAAAUGCAUUGAGCAGAAUAGGAAUCCGGGGCAAGGGAUAAAGAAAGUGUGGGGAGGGGAGGGCAGCUCAGGGGAGGUGGAUUCCAGAAGGCGCUGUCAACGCGGAGUGCGAACCAGGGCUGGAGGCAGAAAACCUUCCUGAACCAGUCCCCCAUCCUUUUAAUUUAAAAAAUUCCGUCACCGUUUUUGGACAACCUGGGUCACCUGUCCCACAGACUGCCCCCUUUCUGAUUUUGUCUUUUCGCCACCUACAUUUCCUGCAAAGUAGACAUUAGCUCUGAACACUUGAUUGGAGGAAAAUUCAGUUUUUGGACAGAAAUUCUAUGUUUUAAUACUUGAUGAUUACUGGGUGCUGCAUCACUCCAGGAAGGACUUAAUGUCUGGUUUUCCCCUUUGUACAGUGGAAGAUUGGUCCACCGGUGACGACUUGAUCCUUCCGCCAUGAAGACGUCUACCAACUAACUCAUCUGACUGGUGACCGUGAAGUCCAGCCACCUGUUGCCUUACACUGCCAUGGUGAUUCUUUAGAAACACGGGUCCCCUUCUAUUAUUACUCUCUGCUCAGGACUCUCCAGCUUCUUCCUAACUCACUCAGACUGCAGCCGAGCUGAAGAAACUGUGAAAACAGAGUCUGAUUGUCCAUGAAAGACAACGCCACCUUAUUUUGUAAAAAGAAAACCUGGAUUCUCCUAAGUCGGCCCCUGAAAGGGACUCUGCCCGUGGGGAUGGUGGAAACGUAAACCCCGCAGCCCCUCAUCUUCUCCCAGGUGAUGCCUCAGUCACACUGGCUCCAAGGACAUGCUCCUGCCCUUGAGUGCUCUAGGUCAGACGUGGUGCCACCCUGCACAUACUGGCACAAGCGACCCUCUCCUUUGCUCCGUCUCGGAAAGUCUCCAGUGCGUGAGUCCCCGUCUUUUCCGUUGGCUCCACGAUGACCGUUGUAUGGCUGUCCCAUAACGUAUUUAGCCUCUCUCUGCCGAUAGGAUUUGGGCCAUUUCUAUCCUUUUUUUUUUCACUCCAAAGUGCUUCAGUAAAACAAUCAAUAACUUCCUUUGCACGUAUGUGAAGAUGUAGGACAACUUUCUAGAACUGCUGGGUCAAAGAAUAGGUGCACCUCGAGUGUAAAUACAUAUUGUCAAAUUUACAUUAAUAGUGUUCCAAUUUAUACCCCUGCACCCCCCACCCCACACAUGCACACAAGGAGUGUAUGCACUUAAUCAGAGUUUACAAGAGGCCUAGGUUUAAUGUAAGGAAAUAAACCUGGUGGCCUGAAGCGGGAUAAUAUGGUUUAUGAGACAUGGCUUACCAGUCUUUAGUUUGUGAUCCAGUAGAGGAAUGCUUUGCUUCCUAACUCUCAACUCGCUUGCACAGAGCAGGAACUCUCGGGGAGGGGGGUAGUUGUUUUCUGCCCCCCGCCCCCACCUGCCUCACAUCCUCCCACUUCUCUGAGCCAGAAGGGAACACAGAUGCCUUAGGUAUUGCAACUCAGGGAAUAGGACACAUAGUCUUUUUCUGACUUCUACUGAGCAAGGUCGCCAAACAGAUGUGACUGCCAGCUGACCCAUGAGCCGGUCCCAGGCACUUGGAGGC